RNAcentral lists this ribosomal RNA (253 nucleotides) under uncultured bacterium. RNAcentral's name for it is "partial 16S ribosomal RNA". It matches the Rfam family "Bacterial small subunit ribosomal RNA", at positions 524 to 776 of the family's 1533-position model. The record is from RNAcentral.
UACGGAGGAUCCAAGCGUUAUCCGGAUUUAUUGGGUUUAAAGGGUGCGUAGGCGGCUUAUUAAGUCAGAGGUGAAAUCUUUCGGCUCAACCGGAACAUUGCCUUUGAUACUGAAGAGCUUGAUGGCACAUGAGGUAGGCGGAAUGUGACAAGUAGCGGUGAAAUGCAUAGAUAUGUCACAGAACACCAAUUGCGAAGGCAGCUUACCAAAGUGAGCAUGACGCUGAGGCACGAAAGCGUGGGGAUCAAACAGG